Long non-coding RNA from Oncorhynchus tshawytscha (Chinook salmon), 1823 nucleotides. RefSeq lists it as uncharacterized. Lineage: Eukaryota; Metazoa; Chordata; Actinopteri; Salmoniformes; Salmonidae. The transcript has 4 exons. The record is from RefSeq and is a predicted model, not a curated record.
CGACAACAUGGCAUGGUAGUAACACAACAACAUGUUAGCAGCACAAAACAUGGUACAAACAUUAUUGGGUACAGACUACAGCACAAGGGGCUGAAGGUAGAGGCAACAAUACAUCGCGCAAAUCAACCACAACUUUCAGCUGAGAAUCCGUCUCUGAAAACAGAGUUCAGGGAGGCCCUCAACUCUGGUGGGUUAUAACAACCCUGUUAAAGGCCUGGGCAUCAGGGUUCGACGGAGGGCGAAUCAGGUGCCAUCCCGGGCUUCAUGCUGGGUGUGUUCCAGAUCGCUCUAAAUGAUUGUGAGGAGCUCUACAGGAGCUGGGUUCUGACGCCUUCAAGCAGAACGUCAUCGUUGGCACCAUCAAGAUGGGCUGGAGCCAUUUCUUCUGCGACUCGCAGACCUUGGAGCAAAUCCUCAAAGAGAAAAUGGGCUCUGAUGGUGGAUUCAUCAAGAAACUCCAAAUGCCCAAAGUUAAGCUUUGUCACAUGGCAUGACUCAUUACACUCUCUGGAGUGUGGCGCUGAUGAUCACACACACACACACCCUCUCAUGGAUGGCAAGGUGGACAGUGAGGAAGGAAGGCCCUCACAAUCUCUUAAAGGUCCUAGUAGUCAUGUUUAAUUCAAUAUCAAAUCAUUUCUGGGUAACAAUUGAGUACCUAACUGUGAUUUGUUUUCAAUUAUGGUCAAAAAUAAACAAAAAUAGAUAUUUAGUGAAGGGCAAUUUCUCAAGCAAGAAUUUUGCUAGGACUGCUUGGGAGUGGUCUGAGCAGAGAGGGGGAAACUGAAAAUGUGCUUUUAUUGGCAGAGAGAUUUGGAACUCCCUUUCUUAGUGUUUUUACACGUAGUCCCUUUCAGCAAAAUGUUUGUGAACUCAGUGCAGUUUGCAGAAUUUGAACACUCAAACCCCUCAAAAGAGCCCCCGAAACUAACUGAACUUAGAGCCAUCUCGAGAGGGGGUCUGAGUUUGGGUUCCCUUUAAUAGGACAAUGUGGACAUAAAGCUCACCAGGUUCCCUUGUCAUUAUUCCCGCUCCACACCUAGAUUACUGCAAACGUUGUUUCCCUGGCAUAAGCCCUCACAUUGGUGCCAAAGGAGAGAGAAGAUGAUGAUGUGCAGGUUCAAGCAAAACACGUGUGCCGUUUUUGGAUGUUGAUUAACGAUUGUCAAGGAUGCUUAGAAAUUCCAGAAUAUGUGUGGUUUUUAGUUCAAAUGAUUUGUUUUCAAUAUGUGAUCUGUAGGCUAAGAGAGCUUCUCCAGUUGUUUAGUCGAUUGUGUGGUUUGAAUAGUGUGAAAAGACAAAGGCCCCAUGCAGUUUUUGAAUUUUCUUUUUCAAUCAUCACUGUAUGUAUCAAUAUAUUUGAUGUUUAUUUAAUGAAAAUAACUUCAACCUGUAUUUUUAAUAAUGUAUCACCCUGAACUUCCUUUGGCCUUUGAAAUGCUCAGUCUGAUCGUGUGAGCAAUAGGAAACAAAUGUGAAAAUAUUUACAUGCACAACUCUAAAUGGCUGAUGGUCUAUUAUAAUCAGAUCACAUUGUGACAUCAUGAUGUGGUUCACCUGAACAGGUCUUCCACAAAAAGGGCAUUGUCAUAAUUGUACAAUUUCAGACCGUUAUUCCACCUCAUAGUGUGGAAAUAUCAUAAUGAAAACAGAAAAAUCACGUAUUUAACUGCAUUGCCCCUUUUAAUAAUGAGGUCACUCAGAAAGCUUCUGGCCGGAGGCUGGCUGGCUGGCACUCGAGCAUCAGUACAUUACCCAUCCACCAACACUGUCAAAUCAAAUGUUAUUUGUCACAUACACAUGGUUAGCAGAUGUUAAUGCGA